GCCGCCGUACGGGUGUAAGGCUGUGUGCCCCGUUCUCGGAAGCGUCGACGGGUUUCCGGCAUGCGGAUUUCAGCGUUUGGACUCGACUUUUGGUGAAGAUGUCGAUCGACCUUGGGCCUGGUAACAGCACACCCGACAUGGCCAAAGUGCAGUCUAUCAGUUGAGUGCCCCCGAAUGGACCAUCAACAUCGGAAAAUGAAACAGAGCCAGGGGGAAAAGGUUCCGGUAACACCAUGCAUUCAGUAUGGUGGCCCAGACGUGUAUGCAAGCAAUCUCCUUCAUGUGGACCAAGAACUACUCUGCAGUGUCUCGCAGACUUCCAUGCGAAGUCCUCAACAUUCUCGUCUCAGUGGAAUGGCUGCUCAUCUAUCUGCGUGUCCAUCACCAAGACGGCCAGUUGUAAAGCUCCUGUACCCGUUUAAGAAAGCUUAAUGAUUUUUUUAUUUAGUUUUCACGGUUGGCCAUAGAAUCUUAACAUUUUUGAUGUUUAUAACAUUUUUACCUGGCACAAAGUGGUGCAAUAACUUUAAACCAGUGUAAUGUAUUUAAGUGAUGCUCACUUUAAUGCCUAUCUGGUUUUGUUAGUGUUUAAGAAAUUUGUAUGUCUGAUGAGGUAACAGCAUUUGAAUUUGUCAUCGUGGCUCGUUUCAAUGAGCUGCUAGGAAAAAAGUCGCAAAACUUAUCACACGCCAGUUGUAGCAUUUUUGUUUUCAUGACUAUAGUAUACACGUUUCAAAAGAUGGAAAGUGGGGAAAAAAACCUGUAGAACAUAAUCAUCCUAGGAUUGUCAUGUCCUUACAACUCCGCAAUGAUAAUGCCUCAUACAUCUUGGGAGCACAUUGGUCACAAUGCCUGCAGGUAUACUUGAUAAGAGAAUAGCUUGCACCCAGAUUUGCCACACAGUUGAUGGCUGAUGGCUUUUGUUUGUCGUCUUCAUGUUACUACUAUGUAUUCAAUAUUCAUUUAGAUGUAAAGGACACUAGAGGCACUGAAGUACCAAAUGGCACUUGCAUUUCAGGGGACAAAGUGCCCAGCAUGCCUGUCACAAAACGUGUUCUAGGGGCUACCUUGCCUCUAUAGGUAAAUGGAUACCAGAUGCUCUGUGUACAGUGUAAUCGGUGUACUUGUCUGAAGUGCUUGAAAGAUGUGCUACGGGCUGUACUGGCACUGUCUGAAGAUAAUGCAUGGUUCUAGAAAGCCUGCAGCUGAGCAUCUGCCACCAUACUGAAGGAACUGUCCUAAUUUUGUUGUUGAAAUGUAGGAGCUGCAAUGAAUAGUUGUGAAUGUGUGCUCUGAAUCUUUUAAUGUGAAAUGCCUUGAUUAUUUCCCGUGUGGUUUGACAUUUGUCUCGAAAUAAUUUUUGUGUCUUCAAACAAAGGUUUACAACCGCAAUUGAAACAAUGUGAUGCUAGAUGUGAAGCAUUAGGGUUGUAAAGUGAAUGUUUGUUUUCUUUUAGUCUAAUAUUAAUGCACCUGCCGCUCUGUACAAUGUAAGUCUUCCCUCACUUGAGAGGAUACUGAUAAACUAUACCAGUGUUACAAGGCACAAAAUGGGACACAUGACUAA
Dermacentor andersoni is the source of this 1567-nucleotide long non-coding RNA. RefSeq lists it as uncharacterized. The record is from RefSeq and is a predicted model, not a curated record. Lineage: Eukaryota; Metazoa; Arthropoda; Arachnida; Ixodida; Ixodidae.